RNAcentral lists this transfer-messenger RNA (356 nucleotides) under Candidatus Woesearchaeota archaeon. It matches the Rfam family "transfer-messenger RNA". From Rfam's summary of the family: Bacterial tmRNA, also known as 10Sa RNA or SsrA, is named for its dual tRNA and mRNA-like properties. Its role is to liberate the mRNA from a stalled ribosome. Lineage: Archaea; Nanobdellati; Candidatus Woesearchaeota. The record is from RNAcentral.
GGGGGUGACUUGGCUUCGACGUGGAUUGCAAACCCUGAGGCGCAUGCCGAGGUGCAGAUGACCUCGUAAAACCAUCUGCAAAAAAAUAGACGCAAACGACGACGUUUACGCCCUGGCUGCUUAAGUCAGCCAGCCUCUGAUAGAAGCCUGCUUUUGGACUUCGACCCAGGGGUAACCCAAGCAAAAGCUCGCGAUGAGGCCUGUCCGGAGCCGAUUCGCCAAAACUCACGGAAUCGCGGUUGAUUGUCCCUGCCGUUCGGGUAGUCAAACGUUAAACAUCAAUAGAGCCGGAUAAGCAUGUAGGGCCAAAGGCGGAGGAUUUGCGGACGCGGGUUCAAUUCCCGCCACCUCCACCA